This 253-nucleotide ribosomal RNA is filed under the name uncultured bacterium. Its description in RNAcentral is "partial 16S ribosomal RNA". It matches the Rfam family "Bacterial small subunit ribosomal RNA", at positions 524 to 776 of the family's 1533-position model. The record is from RNAcentral.
UACAGAGGUCCCAAGCGUUGUUCGAAUUCACUGGGCGUAAAGGGUGCGUAGGCGGUCGGGUAAGUCUGAUGUGAAAUCUCACAGCUUAACUGUGAAACUGCAUUGGAUACUAUCCGGCUCGAGGAAUGGAGGGGAGACUGGAAUACUUGGUGUAGCAGUGAAAUGCGUAGAUAUCAAGUGGAACACCAGUGGCGAAGGCGAGUCUCUGGACAUUUCCUGACGCUGAGGCACGAAAGCCAGGGGAGCAAACGGG